Bradysia coprophila is the source of this 274-nucleotide long non-coding RNA. RefSeq lists it as uncharacterized. NCBI's taxonomy places the organism in Eukaryota, Metazoa, Arthropoda, Insecta, Diptera, Sciaridae. The record is from RefSeq and is a predicted model, not a curated record.
UAAUCUAAAAGUACAAGUCUCAUAAGUUAUUUUAGUGUGUGUCCAUGCUUAGUUGAAAUGUUGAACCCGAUGUAAUUAGUGAGAUAAUUCAAGAUAAUGAACACACACGUAAAAGUCAGAAUUAGAAUGAGAACGUACUAUGACGAAGACAAUGUAAUUGUUUAACACAUAGGUCAACAACCAUUGAUAAUGACUGUGAAUUACAGUCGAAAUAUUUGGUGACCAUUAAAUGAAACUUGAGCAAUUCCGAUAUACCAAUCUUUAAUUUACAAUU